RNAcentral lists this ribosomal RNA (515 nucleotides) under uncultured bacterium. RNAcentral describes it as "bacterial SSU rRNA". It matches the Rfam family "Bacterial small subunit ribosomal RNA", at positions 994 to 1509 of the family's 1533-position model. The record is from RNAcentral.
AACUUGGCAGAGAUGCCUUGGUGCCUUCGGGAACGCUGAGACAGGUGCUGCAUGGCUGUCGUCAGCUCGUGUUGUGAAAUGUUGGGUUAAGUCCCGCAACGAGCGCAACCCUUAUCCUUUGUUGCCAGCGAUUCGGUCGGGAACUCAAAGGAGACUGCCGGUGAUAAACCGGAGGAAGGUGGGGAUGACGUCAAGUCAUCAUGGCCCUUACGAGUAGGGCUACACACGUGCUACAAUGGCGCAUACAAAGAGAAGCGACCUCGCGAGAGCAAGCGGACCUCAUAAAGUGCGUCGUAGUCCGGAUCGGAGUCUGCAACUCGACUCCGUGAAGUCGGAAUCGCUAGUAAUCGUGGAUCAGAAUGCCACGGUGAAUACGUUCCCGGGCCUUGUACACACCGCCCGUCACACCAUGGGAGUGGGUUGCAAAAGAAGUAGGUAGCUUAACCUUCGGGAGGGCGCUUACCACUUUGUGAUUCAUGACUGGGGUGAAGUCGUAACAAGGUAGGCGUAGCGAG